GGAAACAGCCAAUAGCUUAAUGGUAGAGCAUAUGUCUUGUAUGUUGGUCUCAGGUUCAAUUCCUGAUAUCUCCA
Non-coding RNA from Podarcis lilfordi (Lilford's wall lizard), 74 nucleotides. The record is from the annotation of a GenBank genome assembly. NCBI's taxonomy places the organism in Eukaryota, Metazoa, Chordata, Lepidosauria, Squamata, Lacertidae.